UACGUAGGGAGCAAGCGUUGUUCGGAUUUACUGGGCGUAAAGGGCGCGUAGGCGGCAAAUUAAGUCAGCUGUGAAAUCUCCGAGCUUAACUCGGAACGGUCAGCUGAUACUGAUCUGCCAGAGUGCGGAAGGGGCAAUCGGAAUUCUUGGUGUAGCGGUGAAAUGCGUAGAUAUCAAGAGGAACACCUGAGGUGAAGACGGGUUGCUGGGCCGACACUGACGCUGAGUGCGCGAAAGCCAGGGGAGCAAACGGG
Molecule: ribosomal RNA, 254 nt
Filed under: uncultured bacterium
Lineage: Bacteria
Description: partial 16S ribosomal RNA
Rfam family: Bacterial small subunit ribosomal RNA
Source: RNAcentral